Molecule: ribosomal RNA, 497 nt
Filed under: uncultured bacterium
Lineage: Bacteria
Description: partial 16S ribosomal RNA
Rfam family: Bacterial small subunit ribosomal RNA
Source: RNAcentral
GAUGAACGCUAGCGGCAGGCUUAAUACAUGCAAGUCGAACGGUGAGGUCUCUUCGGAGAUACACGAGUGGCGCACGGGUGCGUAACGCGUAUGCAACCUACCUUUAACUGGGAAAUAGCCCCGAGAAAUCGGGAUUAAUGUCCCAUAUUAUUCUUUGAAUACCUAUUCGAGGAAUGAAAGCUCCGGCGGUUAUUGAUGGGCAUGCGUGACAUUAGCUAGUUGGUGAGGUAACGGCUCACCAAGGCAACGAUGUCUAGGGGUCCUGAGAGGGUUAACCGCCACACUGGUACAGAGACACGGACCAGAAUCCUACGGGAGGCAGCAGUAAGGAAUAUUGGGCAAUGGCCGCAAGUCUGACCCAGCCCUGCCGGGUGAAGGAUGAAUGCCCUAUGGAUUGUAAACUUCUUUUAUGCAGGAAAAAUAUCCCGGUCGUGAACCGGGACUGAUGGUACUGUAUGAAUAAGCAUCGGCUAACUCCGUGCCAGCAGCCGCCGUAA